This 465-nucleotide ribosomal RNA is filed under the name uncultured bacterium. Its description in RNAcentral is "partial 16S ribosomal RNA". It matches the Rfam family "Bacterial small subunit ribosomal RNA", at positions 28 to 507 of the family's 1533-position model. The record is from RNAcentral.
GACGAACGCUAGCGGCGUGCUUAACACAUGCAAGUCGAACGGAAAGGCCCCUUUGGGGGUACUCGAGUGGCGAACGGGUGAGUAACACGUGAGUAACCUGCCCUUGACUUCGGGAUAACUUCAGGAAACUGGGGCUAAUACCGGAUAGGAAUCCUUGCUGCAUGGUGGGGGUUGGAAAGCUUCGGCGGUUUUGGAUGGACUCGCGGCUUAUCAGCUUGUUGGUGGGGUAGUGGCUUACCAAGGCUUUGACGGGUAGCCGGCCUGAGAGGGCGACCGGCCACAUUGGGACUGAGAUACGGCCCAGACUCCUACGGGAGGCAGCAGUGGGGAAUAUUGCACAAUGGGCGGAAGCCUGAUGCAGCAACGCCGCGGGCGGGAUGACGGCCUUCGGGUUGUAAACCGCUUUCAGCAGGGGCGAAGCUUGUGGUGACGGUACCUGCAGAAGAAGCACCGGCUAACUACGUG